Ictalurus punctatus (channel catfish) is the source of this 4391-nucleotide long non-coding RNA. RefSeq lists it as uncharacterized. The transcript is spliced from 2 exons. The record is from RefSeq and is a predicted model, not a curated record. Lineage: Eukaryota; Metazoa; Chordata; Actinopteri; Siluriformes; Ictaluridae.
UUUUUUAACCCUAUUGGUAGUGAGAUCAUAGUCUUCUUGAAACAUAUGGGUUAUCUAGUGUGUAAAUACAGUAUAAAUACUGGAGCUUAAGCUCAGGGUAUUGGGAUCACUUCUGAGAAUUCUCAUCGGUGUGGAUCUCGUGUGGUGGAAUGGAACAAUAAAGCUGGGCCCUUGCUUCUUCUCACUCAUGGCUGAUGUAUUUUUUCUGUCUCCAACUGGGCUCAGAGGUAGAUGUGAGUAUUGGCUUCUAAGUUGAAUUUUAAAUGUUUUUGGGUAAUAGGCUAAAUUUGAGCCAACAUUUGGCGACCCAGAUGGGACUGGGCUAAGAUCUAUAUGUCUGGAAUCUCUCCCGUGGGACUUCGCUCUCUAAGCAACAGACAGGCCGUAUAGGAAAAGGCAUUGCAGACGCCUGUUAUUUCAAAGCUCUGUUUUAGUGGUCUGUUGUUACGAUUGGGAAGCCCCGGGGUGGGAAGAAAGACUAAGUGGGUCUCCAAAAGAACCUUGAGUGAGUGAGAAGAGGUAAGAGAAGUGUAGAUUGUAGAAGAAUGUACUUUUUGUAAUUGUAUAACGUUCAUAAGACUGUGUAAGGAAAUGGUAUAUGUGUUGUGUGAGUGAAAGUCCUGCAAUACUGCUGGAGGAAGGGCAAAAAGGUAGAAAAAAGGUAGAAAAAAGGUAGAAAAAAGAGAAGAGAAAUAGAGAAAUACUCCAGGGCUGGGAUAGAAAGCAGGUGGAAAAUGAGGCCUCAGACCCCAGAUACCGGCUACUACACUAGACUAGCAGACUAGUGGCGGCUGCAUUGGUGGGGACCCCUAAUACCGCUGGAAAAAGAUUAGAUAAAAGAUAGAUAGAUUAGAUUCCAGGGCUGGAUAGAGAGGGGAAUAAAUCCUGGGCCCAGGUCCGGGUCGUGCAAUACAGCAUGCCCGGUGUAUGAAUGGAAUAUGUACUAACGAAUGUGUGUGCUUAUAAUAUAUGUGCUUAUAAUAUGAGUGUGGUGUGAGAGCGUGUAAGUUUUGGAGACAGGGAAAAAGUAUUUAUUAGUGCUCUGAACAUGAGCUCCAUACCUAAAGUAUUGGAUAAGUUGGAUAAGAUUUAGAGAAAAGAAUUUUUUUUUGGAGAAAGUUGGAUUUAAUUUGUAUGACUGUAAGCUUCAUGCAUACGGAGCUGGUAUGGAGGUGCUUUAUACUUUGAAAACUUCAUGUAGUAACAUAAAUAAGUGUAAUAAUGUGGAAUACAAUGUGUGUAUGGGAGCUUGCCGGCGUUGUUGAUAGAAAGGAGCGGUGUAUGUGUGUGUUCCUGUCUGUUCUUAUCUGCGCGUCUGUGUGGAAAUAGGAAGGAAGGACAAAAAAAAAAAAAAAAAAAAAAGGAAUGACAAUUCGGUGUGUGUGUGCUCUUCAGAGUGAGCUUGGUAAUGCAGAGCAUUGUGAGAUAUCUUGCGGUCUUCGAAUGUUUUGAAUCUGGUACAUACUUUUGAUUGUGUGAUCCGGGGUAAAAGGAAGACUGAAGGUGGGGAAACAAGUGUGCAUUUUCAGGCCCCAGAAGCCACUGUUAAGAAAUGAAUGCCCAUGAUCUUAGCCAGUGUGUGAGGGGGAAGGUAGAGGAAUGGUCUCUGUGCUUGCAGGCAACGGUGGAGGAUAAUCUAAGUGUGAUAUUUGUGCUCGAAAAUUUCUUCCUUGACCAGGGAUAGGUCCCAGAUCUGACAUACCAUCUCAAGUUAACGUAAUUUGUGCUGAUACUAAACGUAUUUUGGUGGAUGCUCUACCUCUUGCACUAAUGACCUAGCACAUGCAGACUAACAGCCAUAUGUAUCUAACACCGCAUGAAACGCUUACGGGUCGACCCGUGUCUGUGUCUGUUCCUUAUGAUGGACUGCCGCUGGAGUAAUUGCAGAUGAAUCAAAAACAUAUAUAAGACCACUAACUAUUAUGUAUGGAGUUAUAUAUUCACAGGAACAGAGCUGAGUGCAGUGUUAUGUGUGAGGCGUCACCGCCUCAACGGGGGGAGGUGUUCACCCGGAGGUAGGAGACCCGGAGGUGUUCACCCGGAGGUAGGAGACCCGGAGGUGUUCACCCGGAGGUGGGAGUCCCGUAGCAGCGAGAGAAUGCUGACUACAAGGCGACAGCGGACUAGAACAUGCAACCCCUGGAGGAUGCUCAAUCCUCCAAUGACGAGAUGGUGGGGAACACGUGAAGGUCCGGUACAAAGCUGCUGUGUACGAAACUGUUGUCAGUGGGGGGUCUGCUCAUUCAGUGGCAGACAGGAUGAGAAGAUGUGAGGAUCCAUACCCUGGGUGUACGUGCUAGCCUAACCUCUCCCCAAAGGGUGGCUCUCUACAGUACGUAAAGUGCUUGAGCUGAAGACAACCAGCAUACAGAGAGAUACUGCAUACAACAGACUGUCAAGUAUUGUUAUAAAAUGUUAUAAAAUAUUUGUGAUAUGACGCAAUCAGGCACAGAAAAGUAUAAUAGUGCUGCCGAGCACAUAGUGCUGGCAGGGUGGGAAUUUUUCCUCGUAGGAGGUUUUUUCGCCCACCCCUGACUGCGAAAGACUGGGGUUUGGUUUUUGAGGGGAAGCAAGAAUCUGCAGGUCCCGACAAAUACAAAACUGUGGGCUGACAGGCCUAGUUGAGAAAGAUAGGGACGUGUAGAUCAAGUAGUUAGUUACUGUAGUGGCCACUCAUACGUACGGCAGUAGUAGUAGUAAUGAAUGAUUAGGGGAACUCAGUAAAUCACACUUAUAAUCGAUGUAGGCAAACAAACGUAUAAUCAAGGUAGUUAGAUUCGAAAUGAGAUAUAUAUAUACAUAGUUAAAAGGAGAAGUAAGUUAAGGGUUAAGAGUUAUGGCUAGGUACAUCUACACAUGUCCGGCGCAAAGUGGAUGUAGGGGGGUCCUAAGGCCCAUUCUCCAGCUGCCAAUCUACUAUGAGACCCCGGGGCGCACAACACUAGCACGUCUCCCACCAGUUCUACAAAACCUCCUCAGCUCCUGUUCGGAUCAGUGUUGCGUAGAAGUGGUUAAUGUAAGGGACCCAUUUGAGUACGGGGACGGGCGCAGGGAUUAUGGCUUUGUUAGAGUAAUCCUCCGACAGCUAGCGGGGGACGGCCAUGGGGUGCGGCAGAAUCAGUUCCUCCACGCUUAAUUAAGGUAGUGUAUGAGGCUUCAUAGUCUCAGAGGGGGAAAUGUUGUGGAUAAAAAAUGUCAUAAAAUAAACAUAAGGGAGACCUAGCAUCCAGCAAAGGGGAGAAGAAGAAAAGACGGGCACCUAGACACAUAGAAGCGGGAUUAGGCGGACAUUGACAAAUUGGAAUUACACUUUAAAGAUCUUUAAGAGCAGUAAUAGUCAAAAAAGUCAAAAAAGAGGUAUACGAGCUGAGCUGAGGAGGGCUAACACACACACACACACACGCUCGUACAGUCAAGGGCGGGCAAGUAGACACAACAUACACACACACUCUCUCUUUCUCAUACACACACAUGAAUAACUUUAAUAAUAUCUUAUAGUAAUAGAGAAACUCUAUAAAAAAAAACAGAAUAGUAGGAUAUGCAGGACAGUAGAACUGUAAUGAUAUUAAGAAGUUGGAAGUACAGUAAACCACUUUUCAAGUAGUAUAAAUAUAUAUAUAUAUAUAUAUAUAUAUAUAUAUAUAAUAAGAAAUAUAGUGCAAAUAUGAAAAUAAAAACUAGAAAUACAGGAAAAUAUAACUUACUCAUGAUUCAGAUGGUGAAGAUUCUCGUCUCGCAAGGAAAGCCUUAAUUUUAAGAGAACCAUGAAGAGAGCCGGUUAUAAGGGUGGCUGGGUCAAACUGCCCCCCCUCGAGAUAACGAUAAGACCAAGAUCCCUCUAGGUUGUUUAGUCUUGUCCACGGUCUACUCUCUGGGUAAAUGAAAAUGCUGGUUUCUGAGGCCCUAGGUAACUGAGAAGUCUGGUUUCUGAUGCCCUAGGUAACUGAAAAUUCUGGUUUCUGAUCCUCUGAGUAACUAGAAACUCUGGGUUUUUAUUUUCUGGGUUAUUAGAAAUGCCUGGGUUCUGAUUUUAUGUGUAAAUUAAAACCCCUGGUUUCAAUUCUGUGUGUAAGUGAAAUAGCCCUUUUCUGGAACAUAAGAGUAAGGUAAAUGAGCUCUUUUUUAACCCUAUUGGUAGUGAGAUCAUAGUCUUCUGGAAACCUAUGGGUUAUCUAGUGUGUAAAUACAGUAUAAAUACUGGAGCUUAAGCUCAGGGUAUUGGGAUCACUUCUGAGAAUUCUCAUCGGUGUGGAUCUCGUGUGGUGGAAUGGAACAAUAAAGCUGGACCCUUGCUUCUUCUCACUCACGGCUGGUGUAUUUUUUCUAUCUCCAACUGGUCUCAGAGGUAGAUGUGAGUAUUGGCUUCUAAGUUGAAUUUUAAAUGUUUUGGG